CGGGCUGUAGCUCAGCUUGGUAGAGCACACGCCUGGGGGGCGUGGGGUCGUCGGUUCGAAUCCGGCCAGCCCGACCA
RNAcentral lists this transfer RNA (77 nucleotides) under Verrucomicrobiales bacterium. RNAcentral's name for it is "tRNA-Pro". It matches the Rfam family "tRNA". From Rfam's summary of the family: Transfer RNA (tRNA) molecules are approximately 80 nucleotides in length. Their secondary structure includes four short double-helical elements and three loops (D, anti-codon, and T loops). RNAcentral also lists the same sequence under 1 other name. Lineage: Bacteria; Pseudomonadati; Verrucomicrobiota; Verrucomicrobiia; Verrucomicrobiales. The record is from RNAcentral.